This 253-nucleotide ribosomal RNA is filed under the name uncultured bacterium. Its description in RNAcentral is "partial 16S ribosomal RNA". It matches the Rfam family "Bacterial small subunit ribosomal RNA", at positions 524 to 776 of the family's 1533-position model. The record is from RNAcentral.
UACGGAGGGUGCAAGCGUUAUCCGGAUUCACUGGGUUUAAAGGGUGCGUAGGUGGUUUUGUAAGUCAGUGGUGAAAGCCCGGAGCUUAACUCCGGAACUGCCAUUGAUACUGCUUAACUUGAAUCAACUUGAGGUGGAUGGAAUAUUACAUGUAGCGGUGAAAUGCUUAGAUAUGUAAUAGAACACUGAUUGCGAAGGCAGUUCACUAAGGUUGUAUUGACACUGAGGCACGAAAGCGUGGGGAUCAAACAGG